Molecule: long non-coding RNA, 1772 nt
Filed under: Homo sapiens (human)
Lineage: Eukaryota; Metazoa; Chordata; Mammalia; Primates; Hominidae
Description: HSALNT0372289
Source: RNAcentral
GUGAUCCUUCAGCCUCAGCCUCCCAAAGCGCUGGGAUUACAGGUGUGAGCCACUGUGCCGGGCCAUGCCUUCUCCUUUGUAUGUUGAGCUAAGCAUACACACUUUAAGUAGGCAGUGAGCCAGCUCUUCACAGCCUCAUGACCUUGAACAAGUUGCAUAGCCCUCCUAAGCCCACAUUUCCCAUUUGUAAAAUGGCUAAAGUAAUACCAUCUUGAAAGACGUGAAACUCAACUGAGAAACUUAACCUCACACAGUUUGUGGCAAUAAUUCCCCAAAUAGUGUCAUCUAGAAAUAUGCUAAAACCCAACUGUAAUUACCCAGAUAUUUAUUGAACAUGCGUUAUGUGAAGAGCAUCGUUAUCAGUUGUUGCAAGGAAUGUAAAGAUGCCUAAGGCAAUUUCCAUUCUCAUGGCGCUUUCCGAUGUAGAAGAGGAGUUUUUGUUGUUAAAGGCUAGACAAAAUCUAUGUAAAAUGUCCUUUGGGUUCAGAGAAAGGAGUUACCAGAGGAAGCCUGCUGUGGUUAGGAGUGCAGGUUCUAGAGGCAGAUCACCUUCAUGCCCCAGCCCCACUCCGGGUGUUAUCCUGGGCACCCGCGCCUCAGUGUCCUUAUCUAUGAAACAGAGAGCGUUAUGGAUGCCUGCUUAGCUCAGUGUUAGGAGGAUUCCAUGAGUGAGCAUUUAGUUGAAAGUGCUCCGUAAAUGUUAGUAAUUAUCUGUUCAUUCAGCACAUAUUUAUUGAGUGCCUACUGCAUUCAAUUACCAAGAACAGCAAGUUGAGUGAGAUUUUGUAUAUGCAGUUUGGUGAAGGAAACACAAAUCAGUAAUGAGUUGCAGGGAUACAAAGUGUUGAGAGCCAUAAUGGGAGCAUAAAUAAGAUGAUGCAGGAACACCGGGAAAAGGCAUCUAAAUCAUAUUACUGAGCAGAAAAGGCCUCAGGGGAAAUAGCACGUGAACUGAGCUUCCAAGAAGUCAGGGUUAUUUAGAUCAAAGAUAGGGUGGAGGCGGGCGGCAUUCUGGGUUUCAAGAAAACAGUCCAUGAGAAGGCAUGGUGGCACACACAAGCAUCACACGUCUGGGAAGUACAGCUUUCAUGUGGCUGCAGUACACUUGGCAAUAUUUGGCGAGAAAAGGAGGAUUCUAAUCCCCAAGGGCCCUUUUUAUCCAGGGAAUAGCAUUUCAAGGUUCAGUGGAGGAGAACCCCAAGAGCACCAAAAUGGAAAGAUGAUUUGUAAAGCUGAGGAAAAUGUCCAGCUGUGUUUUUAUGAGGACUCUCACUGCACUGAUAUGACAGAUGACACCUUCCCUCAACACUGUUCAUCAUUGACUGCUGAGGGCUCCUUCUUCAGUUUAUAACAGGAUGGUAACUUCAUAAGCAAUGUAGGACUUUCACAGGGUUCCACACGAAGCGUGUCUGGAUAAUUCAGCCAAGCUCUUCAGUCUCCAGCAGUGAUGGAAUCAGGAGCUCGCUUGGCCAGCCCUCUAAUGACUCAGUCACAGGGUCAUCCACUUGGGGGUGUGAGGAGAGGAGGCUUCUCCCCGCAAGUGCUUUCGGGGUGAUGCCGUAGAUUCUUUGUACCUCAGGAGUUACUUUUGCAAUUAGAGGUUCUCUCUCUCUCUUGGUAUUUUAUGCAUCUAAUUCUGCUUUUCUAUGCAUGAGUCUUGUCGGAUUCAGGCACAGCAAUAAGUCUCCAAAAUAGGGUCAGAGUGAGUUUAAUGAAGAAGUUAUUGUUUUCUUAAGGAUGAAAAUAAACAGAGAGAAUGCCUUAUUACAUAA